UAACUGGCUUGUGGCAGCC
RNAcentral lists this small nuclear RNA (19 nucleotides) under Arabidopsis thaliana (thale cress). Its description in RNAcentral is "snRNA_05460". The record is from RNAcentral. Lineage: Eukaryota; Viridiplantae; Streptophyta; Magnoliopsida; Brassicales; Brassicaceae.